UAGGGAAUUUUCGGCAAUGGGGGAAACCCUGACCGAGCGACGCCGCGUGAGGGAUGAAGGCCUUCGGGUUGUAAACCUCUGUCUUCGGGGACGAUGAUGACGGUACCCGAGGAGGAAGCCACGGCUAACUACGUGCCAGCAGCCGCGGUAAGACGUAGGUGGCAAGCGUUGUCCGGAAUUAUUGGGCGUAAAGGGCGUGUAGGCGGCCUGUUAAGUCAGACGUGAAAUCCCCGGGCUCAACCUAGGGACUGCGUUUGAUACUGAUGGGCUUGAGGACAGGAGAGGAAAGUGGAACUCCGUGUGUAGCGGUGAAAUGCUCAGAUAUACGGAAGAACACCAGUGGCGAAGGCGACUUUCUGGACUGUCCCUGACGCUGAGGCGCGAAAGCCAGGGGAGCGAACGGG
RNAcentral lists this ribosomal RNA (404 nucleotides) under uncultured bacterium. RNAcentral describes it as "bacterial SSU rRNA". It matches the Rfam family "Bacterial small subunit ribosomal RNA", at positions 355 to 776 of the family's 1533-position model. The record is from RNAcentral.